GGAGGGAUGGCUGAGUGGCCGAAAGCACCGGUCUUGAAAACCGGCGAGUCGAGAGGCUCCCUGGGUUCGAAUCCCAGUCCCUCCGCCA
This 88-nucleotide transfer RNA is filed under the name Marinobacterium rhizophilum. RNAcentral's name for it is "tRNA-Ser". It matches the Rfam family "tRNA". Rfam says of the family: Transfer RNA (tRNA) molecules are approximately 80 nucleotides in length. Their secondary structure includes four short double-helical elements and three loops (D, anti-codon, and T loops). Further hydrogen bonds mediate the characteristic L-shaped molecular structure. tRNAs have two regions of fundamental functional importance: the anti-codon, which is responsible for specific mRNA codon recognition, and the 3' end, to which the tRNAs corresponding amino acid is attached (by aminoacyl-tRNA synthetases). tRNAs cope with the degeneracy of the genetic code in two manners: having more than one tRNA (with a specific anti-codon) for a particular amino acid; and 'wobble' base-pairing, i.e. permitting non-standard base-pairing at the 3rd anti-codon position. The record is from RNAcentral. Lineage: Bacteria; Pseudomonadati; Pseudomonadota; Gammaproteobacteria; Oceanospirillales; Oceanospirillaceae. RNAcentral also lists the same sequence under 2 other names.